GAGUUUGAUCGUGGCUCAGAGCGAACGCUGGCGGCAUGCCUAACACAUGCAAGUCGAACGGGAUCCUGGCUUCGGUCAGGUGAGAGUGGCGGACGGGUGAGUAACACGUGGGAAUCUGCCUUUUGGUUCGGGAUAACUGCGGGAAACUGCGGCUAAUACCGGAUGCUCCCGAGAGGGAAAAGAUUUAUCGCCGAUGGAGGGGCCCGCGUCCGAUUAGGUAGUUGGUGAGGUAACGGCUCACCAAGCCGACGAUCGGUAGCUGGUCUGAGAGGAUGAUCAGCCACACUGGGACUGAGAUACGGCCCAGACUCCUACGGGA
Molecule: ribosomal RNA, 319 nt
Filed under: uncultured Alphaproteobacteria bacterium
Lineage: Bacteria; Pseudomonadati; Pseudomonadota; Alphaproteobacteria
Description: bacterial SSU rRNA
Rfam family: Bacterial small subunit ribosomal RNA
Source: RNAcentral